Molecule: ribosomal RNA, 253 nt
Filed under: uncultured bacterium
Lineage: Bacteria
Description: partial 16S ribosomal RNA
Rfam family: Bacterial small subunit ribosomal RNA
Source: RNAcentral
UACGCAGGGGGCUAGCGUUGUUCGGAAUUAUUGGGCGUAAAGGGCGUGUAGGCGGUUCGGUAAGUGAAAUGUGAAAUGCCCCGGCUCACCCGGGGACCUGCAUCUCAAACUGCCGGACUAGAGUAUGGGAGAGGAUGAGGGAAUUCCUGGUGUAGCGGUGAAAUGCGUAGAUAUCAGGAGGAACACCGGUGGCGAAAGCGCUCAUCUAGCCCAAUACUGACGCUGAGGCGCGAAAGCUAGGGGAGCAAACGGG